GAAAUGCGAUAAGUAAUGUGAAUUGCAGAAUUCAGUGAAUCAUCGAAUCUUUGAACGCACAUUGCGCCCCCUGGUAUUCCGGGGGGCAUGCCUGUUCGAGCGUCAUUUCACCACUCAAGCCUCGCUUGGUAUUGGGCGACGCGGUCCGCCGCGCGCCUCAAAUCGACCGGCUGGGUCUUCUGUCCCCUCAGCGUUGUGGAAACUAUUCGCUAAAGGGUGCCACGGGAGGCCACGCCGCAAAACAAACCCAUUUCUAAGGUUGACCUCGGAUCAGGUAGGGAUACCCGCUGAACUUAAGA
RNAcentral lists this unclassified non-coding RNA (299 nucleotides) under plant metagenome. RNAcentral describes it as "partial contains 5.8S ribosomal RNA, internal transcribed spacer 2, and large subunit ribosomal RNA". The stretch from base 1 to 105 matches the Rfam family "5.8S ribosomal RNA", at positions 50 to 154 of the family's 154-position model. The record is from RNAcentral.